RNAcentral lists this ribosomal RNA (519 nucleotides) under uncultured eukaryote. RNAcentral describes it as "SSU rRNA". It matches the Rfam family "Eukaryotic small subunit ribosomal RNA", at positions 1161 to 1699 of the family's 1831-position model. The record is from RNAcentral.
AGGGCACCACCAGGAGUGGAGCCUGCGGCUUAAUUUGACUCAACACGGGAAAUCUCACCAGGCCCGGACACCAGAAGGAUUGACAGAUUGAUAGCUCUUUCUUGAUUUGGUGGGUGGUGGUGCAUGGCCGUUCUUAGUUGGUGGAGCGAUUUGUCUGGUUAAUUCCGAUAACGAACGAGACUCUAGCCUAUUAAAUAGGCUCCCGGCUUUUAAACGCCGGGAGGACUUCUUAGAGGGACAGGUGGCGGUUCAGCCGCACGAAAGAGAGCAAUAACAGGUCUGUGAUGCCCUUUGUUGUCCGGGGCCGCACGCGCGCUACACUGAAGAGAUCAGCGUGCUUUACGUUCCUGCUCCGACCGGAGUGGGGAACCCAGUGAACCUUCUUCGUGAUUGGGAUAGAAGAUUGUAAUUAUUCUUCUUGAACGAGGAAUUCCCAGUAAAUGCGAGUCAUAAGCUCGCGUUGAUUACGUCCCUGCCCUUUGUACACACCGCCCGUCGCUACUACCGAUUGAACGAUUU